This 209-nucleotide long non-coding RNA is filed under the name Nicotiana benthamiana. RNAcentral's name for it is "long non-coding RNA (NBEN_LNC000382)". Lineage: Eukaryota; Viridiplantae; Streptophyta; Magnoliopsida; Solanales; Solanaceae. The record is from RNAcentral.
UCGACUAUCUUGAAAAGUUCACCAAAAUUUUGCAAGACAGAAGCAUCACAUAAUCGAUUUUUUUUUUAAAAUAAUCAAUUAUUGCAUAUUUGUUCACAAAAUUUUAUGAAACAGAACUGUAGGAUAAUCAAUUAUUCAACCAGAAAAAUCGAUUAUCUGGAAUUUCCAAAAAAAUUGGAAAUUCCAGAGAGCCAAGAUAAUCGAUUAUC